GUGAGGAAACUAAGAUAGAUAAAGACCAGGUGAACUGUCCAAAUGACACAGCUACCCUGGGGCUGGCAAACUCCAAACGCUUUUAACCUUGGUCCUACAGAGGAGUGGUGCAGCAGAUCCAGAGGCACCUUCAGCUGUGUAGCAGAAGUGGAGAUGUUUUUAACAUGCCAGAGCUAUGCCUUUUGCCAGACCCACCCAGAGCUCUUCUGGAAACUGCAAGUCUGUUGGACACCAGGACACGUUUUCCCCCAUCCACAUUCUGCAGUGGAUCCUUUCUGGGCUGCAGCAGCUGUUGUAGGGGAGGUUUUUUUCCCCCACCAGAAAAUUCAAAAGUAGGAAUUGAUCAUCAGAAAAUUGAGUUGCAUUGAAAACUCUCUUCAGCUUAAAAGAUGCACACACAGAUGUGUGUCAGCCUGGCCUAGUGCCAGUUCACCACUCACAGAGGCAGACAGCAGGUCUGUAAAAAAAAUAAAAAAUCACCUCACAGUAUCUGCUACCUGAAU
Molecule: long non-coding RNA, 503 nt
Filed under: Cyanistes caeruleus (blue tit)
Lineage: Eukaryota; Metazoa; Chordata; Aves; Passeriformes; Paridae
Description: lncRNA (ENSCCEG00000008480.1)
Source: RNAcentral